UGGGGAAUAUUGGACAAUGGGCGAAAGCCUGAUCCAGCCAUGCCGCGUGAGUGAAGAAGGCCUUCGGGUUGUAAAGCUCUUUUAGUCGGAAAGAAAGAGUUGCAAUGAAUAAUUGUGAUUUAUGACGGUACCGACAGAAAAAGCACCGGCUAACUACGUGCCAGCAGCCGCGGUAAUACGUAGGGUGCGAGCGUUAAUCGGAAUUACUGGGCGUAAAGGGUGCGCAGGCGGUCUUGCAAGUCAGAUGUGAAAGCCCCGGGCUUAACCGGGGAAUUGCGUUUGAAACUACAAGGCUAGAGUGCAGCAGAGGGGAGUGGAAUUCCAUGUGUAGCAGUGAAAUGCGUAGAGAUGUGGAAGAACACCGAUGGCGAAGGCAGCUCCCUGGGUUGACACUGACGCUCAUGCACGAAAGCGUGGGGAGCAAACA
Molecule: ribosomal RNA, 427 nt
Filed under: uncultured beta proteobacterium
Lineage: Bacteria; Pseudomonadati; Pseudomonadota; Betaproteobacteria
Description: bacterial SSU rRNA
Rfam family: Bacterial small subunit ribosomal RNA
Source: RNAcentral